This is a non-coding RNA of Podarcis lilfordi (Lilford's wall lizard), 71 nucleotides long. The record is from the annotation of a GenBank genome assembly. Lineage: Eukaryota; Metazoa; Chordata; Lepidosauria; Squamata; Lacertidae.
GGGCUAUAGCUUGGUGGUGGAGCAUCUGUCUUGAACUCAGAAGGUGCCAGGUUCAAUGCCUGACAUUUCCA